RNAcentral lists this ribosomal RNA (255 nucleotides) under uncultured prokaryote. Its description in RNAcentral is "partial 16S ribosomal RNA". It matches the Rfam family "Bacterial small subunit ribosomal RNA", at positions 521 to 775 of the family's 1533-position model. The record is from RNAcentral.
UAAGACGGAGGGUGCAAACGUUGUUCGGAAUCACUGGGCGUAAAGGGCGCGUAGGCGGAUCUGUAAGUCGGGAGUGAAAUCUCGGGGCUCAACCCCGAGCCUGCUUCCGAAACUGCAAGUCUUGAGGACUGGAGAGGAAAGUGGAAUUCCCGGUGUAGCGGUGGAAUGCGUAGAUAUCGGGAGGAACAUCGGUGGCGAAGGCGACUUUCUGGACAGUUCCUGACGCUGAGGCGCGAAAGCUAGGGGAGCAAACAG